CCUACGGGAGUCAGCAGUGGGGAAUAUUGCACAAUGGGGGAAACUCUGAUGCAGCGACGCCGCGUGAAGGAAGACGUAUUUCGGUAUGUAAACUUCUAUCAGCAGGGAAGAAAAUGACGGUACCUGACUAAUAAGCCCCGGCUAACUACGUGCCAGCCGCCGCGGUACUACGUAGGGGGCAAGCGUUAUCCGGAUUUACUGGGUGGAAAGGGAGCGUAGGCGGUUUAGCAAGUCAGAAGUGAAAGCCCGGGGCUCAACUCCGGGACUGCUUUUGAAACUGUUGAACUAGAUUGCAGGAGAGGUAAGUGGAAUUCCUAGUGUAGCGGUGAAAUGCGUAGAUAUUAGGAGGAACACCAGUGGCGAAGGCGGCUUACUGGACUGUAAAUGACGCUGAGGCUCGAAAGCGUGGGGAGCAAACAGGAUUAGAUACCCGAGUAGUC
RNAcentral lists this ribosomal RNA (440 nucleotides) under uncultured bacterium. RNAcentral's name for it is "partial 16S ribosomal RNA". It matches the Rfam family "Bacterial small subunit ribosomal RNA", at positions 338 to 795 of the family's 1533-position model. The record is from RNAcentral.